UUGAGGAACUGAGACAUGGUUCUCCGGCUGCUGGUCAGAGUACUAGUAGUAGCAUGUGUAAUAGCAUUGCAGAUCACAAUAACAGCAGUGCGUAUGGAAGCGUUUGCAGUAGAAAUGAUGGAAAUGCUAUUUUGGUGGUAGGAUCUGAGAAGGCUAGGGUUCCAGAGAGCUUGAAUGAUGGAGGUCUCUUUCUUCAUGACAGAUUCAGAGGGAUGGAUUCUCAUCGUGCCAGCCAAAGAGAAGCAGCUCUGACAAAGUUCCGACUGAAGCGGAAAGAUCGAUGCUACGAGAAAAAGGUAUAAAAAUCAUCAGCAUCUCAUGUUAUGUAUGCAAAUGGAUGCACAGCCUUUAAUAUACA
RNAcentral lists this unclassified non-coding RNA (358 nucleotides) under Hevea brasiliensis (rubber tree). Lineage: Eukaryota; Viridiplantae; Streptophyta; Magnoliopsida; Malpighiales; Euphorbiaceae. The record is from RNAcentral.